GUUCACAGUCUAGUAUUUUCUAAAUAACUUUAAAGUACAUAUAUGCUCAUAUAUAUAAACAAGCCAACUCUUGUAGAGAGCAAGCAACAUAUCAAGUGACAGCAAGUUUUGUCAUGAAGAAUUUUGACUGUUCCCAUGAGAAAGCUGGCUAUAUGGACUCCUAUUCUUCAUUAUAAGCUCCAACAAUCUCCUCUGCAAUAUAUUUAAUCAUUUUCAACCAUAUGCCAGAAAUUCAGGAGUUGUGAGCCACAUUCCUUUCAUGCAAGCUUGAAUACAGCCACUGAGGAAUAAACUUUGGGCAUCAGAAGGAAGAAAACAAAAGUGACAGUGCACAAAGCUAAAUAUUGCUGCUUGGAUAAGAAGCAUUUGCUCUGGAUUGUGUUUGGAGUUUUCAGGGACUGGGAGAUACUCCCGGGAGUCUUGCACCCUGCACAACAGCCUAUUCAGUUAGCUGACCUGGAGUAUGCACUUCCCUAACCUUUGCUCAAUGAACCAAAGACUACUGGCCUGAGGAUGACACUAACAACAUGUGCCUAGCAAUGCAAUUGGAGGUGACGGUAGAAAGCAUGCCAAAUUCUCUGCUUUGACAUUUCAAUACAUCUCAGUGUGACAUCGGCCCACAGCUCUGCUGUCCCAACGCCUCAACACGCAGCUGAUCUCACCGGUGCACUCCCCUCACCUUGUGAACACAGCAUUCUGCCAGCUGAGCCUUCCUUUCAUUUGGACAGAGACGUGCUGGGACAGCAACCAAUUUAAAAUGACUCUUCCUGACUGCAACAGAUGAUGAAAGAUUAAGAGGGAAGCAGGAUGUGCCUGAAAACACCUUGAAAAAUGACACCAGAGCCACCACCAAUGUACACAUUUACUGUGAAAUGACAGCUUGACUCACCCACCUUGCAGCUCUUCUAUGGUUUAAGAAACAUGGAAAGAAAGAGUAAAAUGAGUUCUUCAGCUAUGCAGAACGAAUAUGAAGAGAGACAGUUCCCAUACCUUAUCAUCUGGUUUGAAUCACAGAACCGUAGAAUCAUUAAGGUUGAAAAAGACCACUAGUCCAACUGUUGAUCCCUCCCCACUGUGCCCACAUGUUCCAGAUAGAAUUCUAGAAUUAUUAAGGUCAGAAGAGAUCGCUAAGAUGACCCAGUCCAACCUCAACCCAUCCCCACCAUGCCCACUAACCAUGUCCCCCCAGUGCCACAUCUCCA
Molecule: long non-coding RNA, 1202 nt
Filed under: Gallus gallus (chicken)
Lineage: Eukaryota; Metazoa; Chordata; Aves; Galliformes; Phasianidae
Description: lncRNA (ENSGALG00010023858.1)
Source: RNAcentral